GACGAACGCUGGCGGCGUGCCUAACACAUGCAAGUCGAACGGAACUGUUUUGAAAGAUUUCUUCGGAAUGAAUUUGAUUUAGUUUAGUGGCGGACGGGUGAGUAACGCGUGAGUAACCUGCCUUCAAGAGGGGGAUAACAUUCUGAAAAGAAUGCUAAUACCGCAUGACAUAUCGGAACCACAUGAUUUUGGUAUCAAAGAUUUUAUCGCUUGAAGAUGGACUCGCGUCCGAUUAGUUAGUUGGUGAGGUAACGGCUCACCAAGACCGCGAUCGGUAGCCGGACUGAGAGGUUGAACGGCCACAUUGGGACUGAGACACGGCCCAGACUCCUACGGGAGGCAGCAGUGGGGGAUAUUGCGCAAUGGGGGCAACCCUGACGCAGCAACGCCGCGUGAAGGAUGAAGGUUUUCGGAUUGUAAACUUCUUUUAUUAAGGACGAAA
Molecule: ribosomal RNA, 442 nt
Filed under: uncultured bacterium
Lineage: Bacteria
Description: bacterial SSU rRNA
Rfam family: Bacterial small subunit ribosomal RNA
Source: RNAcentral